GAUAAAUCUGAAGCAGAGUCUUCAAUUUUUU
Molecule: non-coding RNA, 31 nt
Organism: Picea glauca (white spruce)
Lineage: Eukaryota; Viridiplantae; Streptophyta; Pinopsida; Pinales; Pinaceae
Source: Rfam